Molecule: ribosomal RNA, 431 nt
Filed under: Clostridium perfringens
Lineage: Bacteria; Bacillati; Bacillota; Clostridia; Eubacteriales; Clostridiaceae
Description: bacterial SSU rRNA
Rfam family: Bacterial small subunit ribosomal RNA
Source: RNAcentral
AGUGGGGGAUAUUGCACAAUGGGGGAAACCCUGAUGCAGCAACGCCGCGUGAGUGAUGAAGGUUUUCGGAUCGUAAAGCUCUGUCUUUGGGGAAGAUAAUGACGGUACCCAAGGAGGAAGCCACGGCUAACUACGUGCCAGCAGCCGCGGUAAUACGUAGGUGGCGAGCGUUAUCCGGAUUUACUGGGCGUAAAGGGAGCGUAGGCGGAUGAUUAAGUGGGAUGUGAAAUACCCGGGCUCAACUUGGGUGCUGCAUUCCAAACUGGUUAUCUAGAGUGCAGGAGAGGAGAGUGGAAUUCCUAGUGUAGCGGUGAAAUGCGUAGAGAUUAGGAAGAACACCAGUGGCGAAGGCGACUCUCUGGACUGUAACUGACGCUGAGGCUCGAAAGCGUGGGGCAGCAAACAGGAUUAGAUACCCUGGUAGUCCACGC